Nothobranchius furzeri (turquoise killifish) is the source of this 1062-nucleotide non-coding RNA. The record is from RefSeq and is a predicted model, not a curated record. NCBI's taxonomy places the organism in Eukaryota, Metazoa, Chordata, Actinopteri, Cyprinodontiformes, Nothobranchiidae.
AUCCUGUACCGAACACUGUGGAGAGCAACUGCAGCGCCUUGCUCCAAAAUCUGCGGCCGCCUUGAUCUCACGAGGUUAUCGGUGCCUACGUAUGCAUGACGUCAGAGCAAGUCGGACACAAAUCUAACCGGCAUGCACUGCUCGCCGGUCACCGCUGGUCUAAUCUGCUCAGAACUGGCUCAUCUGGAACACGGCCAACGUGAUGGCCUAGCCUGGAAAACAGAGGAGGGCAGAUGGAUGCAGCAGGGGGCGUGGCUAAAAGCUGACGUUUCCCUACAUGGAGCUUGCGGAUGACGACUGUUCGCCUCUACAGGGAGGACGUGACCUUCGAGCUGUCCUGGCAGACCAAGCGAGUCGGUGUUAUCAGUAACACUCCCAUGAGAAAAGUCUGGGAACUGCUUUGUUGAUUCAGUGUGCACCUGGAGCCCAGCAGCUUCCCGCCUGAUGGUCUAGUAUACUGUGAUGUGCGUGUGUGUGUUUCAACUCUGUGCUUCAAUAAAUACUGCGGAGGACGUAAGUCUGACGAGAGAGCGAUCUGAAUCAUGCUUGGUGUGUGUUGUUUAUGAUUGGUAUUGGUGUUGCUUGAUUACUACAACCCCCCGUGCAUUAAACGUCCCCUAAGGUAGUCCUGCAUUGAUACAACUACCUAACAAUGAUGGCUGAAGGUGUCGCGUUAGCGUUCAGAUCUUUGGCCGUGUUCCAGAUGAGCCACUUCUGCGCAGACUGGAUCAGCGGUGAUCGGCGAGCAGUGCAUGCAGGUGUCAGUUUCCACCACCUAAUUGACCACAAGAUGACCGUUGACCUGCAGACACCAACCCACCAUCCAUCUGGCCUCCAGAUCCAGAAGCUUGUGCUCAGUCCUGGUUUUACUACAAGCAGCAGAAGGUCUGCUUCCUCCCUCUGAACAAGUCUUCGUCCUGUAGGCUCCUGCAGGACUAUGUUACAUUAAUCUAACAGGGCUGAUGGUGUGAUACAGGUGUGUGUGUACCUGUGUCAUCGGCGGCUGAUGGUGUGGUACAGGUGUGACCUGGUGCUGAUGGUGUGGUACAGGUGUGACCUGGU